RNAcentral lists this ribosomal RNA (630 nucleotides) under Hymenochaete epichlora. RNAcentral describes it as "SSU rRNA". It matches the Rfam family "Bacterial small subunit ribosomal RNA", at positions 400 to 965 of the family's 1533-position model. The record is from RNAcentral. Lineage: Eukaryota; Fungi; Basidiomycota; Agaricomycetes; Hymenochaetales; Hymenochaetaceae.
UGACUAGCUACUGAAUCUAUGAUGUGUCAUCUUAGAUAACGUAAAGAAAAAUAAUGAUAUUACUUUACUAUUAGUGUCGUCCAAAUACUCGUGCCAGAAGACUCGGUAAGGCGAGAGACGCAAACGUUAUUCGUCUUGAUCAGGCGUAAAGGGUGUGUAGGCUGCUUUAAAAUUUUAUAUUAAGUUUACUAACUAUAAUAAAUUUAAUUAAACUUAUGACUCACAAUUUUAUUAUCUUAAUUUAAUUGCAUAAGUAAUUUAUAAUAAUUAAAUAACAUUAAUGUUAUUAAUAUAUUUGAACUAAAGCUAGAAUCUAAAAUAGGUUAAAACAAUACUUAAGGUAGGAGUACUAACCAUAAAUAUUAAGUAGAGUUCUAAAGGCGAAGGCAUUUAUCCAAUGAAGAUUGACGCUGAGAAACGAAAGUGAGGGCAGAAAAAAGGAUUAGAGACCCUUGUAUUCCUCACUGUCAACGAUGAAUGGUAGUUACUAAUUAGAAAUAAAUUAUAGACGAUGUUAACACGAAAACCAUUCCGCCUUGUGAGUACAACUGCAAAGUUGAAAACAAAAAAAUUAGUCGGUUUCGGAGCAAACGAAGUGAAGCAUGUUAUUUAAUUAUAAAAUUCCCCCAA